GGUAAAAUGGCUGAGGAAAGCAUUAGACUGUAACUCUAAAAACAAAGGUUAAGCCCUCUUUUUGCCA
RNAcentral lists this transfer RNA (67 nucleotides) under Ailuropoda melanoleuca (giant panda). It matches the Rfam family "tRNA". From Rfam's summary of the family: Transfer RNA (tRNA) molecules are approximately 80 nucleotides in length. Their secondary structure includes four short double-helical elements and three loops (D, anti-codon, and T loops). The record is from Rfam by way of RNAcentral. Lineage: Eukaryota; Metazoa; Chordata; Mammalia; Carnivora; Ursidae.